UACGAAAGGUGCGAGCGUUAAUCGGAAUUACUGGGCGUAAAGCGUGCGCAGGCGGUUCGGAAAGAAAGAUGUGAAAUCCCAGGGCUUAACCUUGGAACUGCAUUUUUAACUACCGGGCUAGAGUAUGUCAGAGGGGGGUAGAAUUCCACGUGUAGCAGUGAAAUGCGUAGAGAUGUGGAGGAAUACCGAUGGCGAAGGCAGCCCCCUGGGAUAAUACUGACGCUCAUGCACGAAAGCGUGGGGAGCAAACAGG
This 253-nucleotide ribosomal RNA is filed under the name uncultured Pelistega sp. RNAcentral describes it as "partial 16S ribosomal RNA". It matches the Rfam family "Bacterial small subunit ribosomal RNA", at positions 524 to 776 of the family's 1533-position model. Lineage: Bacteria; Pseudomonadati; Pseudomonadota; Betaproteobacteria; Burkholderiales; Alcaligenaceae. The record is from RNAcentral.